This 1353-nucleotide long non-coding RNA is filed under the name Marmota monax (woodchuck). The record is from RNAcentral. Lineage: Eukaryota; Metazoa; Chordata; Mammalia; Rodentia; Sciuridae.
GGCUAACCCUGAAGUUAGCUAACCAUGAAGUUGCUUCUUAGUUCUUAAAAGCAGCAAAAAGACAUAAGGAACACAGGAUAUCCUCAGGAGUCUCCUUUCCAAUUUGUCAUUUGGCAGAAUGCUAUGUGAAAAAUGGGUUGCUCCUACUAAGCUCUUCUUUGCUUUUUAGUUUUUAUUUUUGAAUUCUUAAUGGACUUGGUCAUACUUAGGCAGGAGAACAUGACUGUCAGCCAAAUAUUCUUCUCUAGUAGAGAUUUAUUAUAAACAGUAUAAAUGCAACUUGGUUUCACAAUUUUCGUCUCCCCCGAAGGAAAAAAAAAAAUCUCCAUUUUAUUAACUUGGUUAAGUUUAUGAGAGGAGAAAGUGCAUAGACAGAAAAAGAGGAGGAGAGAAAAAAGAGUUAUGACAUCCCAUAGCCUUGCCCAUCAGUGACUUCAUUUCAGUAAACACCUUGGUAUUACCCAAAGCUCAGACUUUAUUCCUGAUGACAAUUCAUAUCUAAGGACAAGUUCUGGAGAAAAGUGGGGGAGGCGUAUUGCUUUGCUAGCAAAGUAGAAACACAGGACUAUUAUCCCAGGAUGUAAUUCUGUCAAAUUGUACAGAAGACUUUUAAAGAGGUGGUUUACUCUAAGAUAUCAUCUCACUCCAGUCAGAAUGGCAGCUAUUAUGAAAAAUAUUUUUUAAAAAGUGUUGGCGAGGAUGUGGGGGAAAAGAUACACUCAUAAAUUGCGGGUGGAAUUGCAAAUUGGUGCAGCCAAUAUGGAAAGCAGUUUGGAGGUUCCUUGGAAAUCUGGGAAUACAAACACCAUUUGACCCAGCUCUCCCUCUCCUCAAUUGAUACCCAAAAGACAUCACACUACAAGGACACAGCCACAUCAAUGUUUACAGCAGCACAAUUCACAUUAGCUAAACUGUGGAGCCAACCCAGAUGCCCUUCAGUGGAUGAAUGGAUAAAAAAAAUGUGGCAUAUAUACACAAUGGAAUUUUACUCAGCAAUAAAAGAGAAUAAAAUCAUAGCAUUUGCAGGUAAAUGGCUGGCAGUUGGAGAAGAUAAUGGUAAGUGAAGUUAGCCAAUCCCAAAUAAAAAUAUUUUCUCUGAUAUAAGGAGGCUGACUCAUAAUGGGGUAGGGAGGGGGAACAUGGGACAAAUAGAUGAAUUCUAGAUAGGGAAGAGGGAAGGGAGAGUAAAGGAGGAGCGGGGGAUUAGCAAGGAUGGUGGAAUGUGAUGGACAUCAUUAUCCAAAGUACAUGUAUGAAGAUACAAAUUCGGUAUCAACCUACUUUAUAAUACAAACAGAGAUAUGAAAAAUUGUGGUAUAUAUGUGGAAUAAGAAUUGUAAUGCAAAAAAAAAC